Xyrichtys novacula (pearly razorfish) is the source of this 4129-nucleotide non-coding RNA. The record is from the annotation of a GenBank genome assembly. Lineage: Eukaryota; Metazoa; Chordata; Actinopteri; Labriformes; Labridae.
UUUUUUUCUCUUUUUUUGCCUGAUUGUCCCCCGUACAUAAUGACAGAUCUUUUCUAAAACUGUCACUGUGCACCAUGAGCCUUUAUGAGCUGUAAAUGAUCCACUUGCACAGUAUGAGUUGAAACCACAUUUAUCCAAUCACAGCGUAUGCUCGGCCUAAAAGUCGUCAUUGGAUAUCAUUAGAGCUGGACUAUAUGGAUGGGAAUGAAUAUAUUUAAGUUGUUUCAUGGUAUUAUUUCCAACCUCAAUAAUGACAGAAAACAACCCCAAAACACAAUUCUCCAUACACAAGUACCCCCCCCCCUGCUCCUACUGGGUGUUGCAGGGUCAUUGAAGGGCUGCUUUCCCACUGCUGGCAGCAGGGGAAAAACAGUGUAGUGUGAUUUAUGAUGUUAAUCAUUAGCAGGAGAGGAGUGGAGGCAUAGAGGGAGUGGAGAGAAGCUGCACUGCUUGAUGGAGUGUGUCCCCUCUGCUUGAGCCAAGCCUACAUUUGGCUCCACGCAGAGAGGCUGAGCACACUGCUGUCUGAUGGAGCGCGAUGGACAGCAACUGGGGAGAUGCAUGAAUUCAUCGCAGGAUGGUAGUCAAGAACACCGCCAUGGCUGGGUUCAAAUGAGUCGAAAAUCAUGAUUCAGCAACAACAAUCCAAAGAGGGGUGGAAAAAAAGGGAAAAUAUAAGCCAGGAGCCAAUUGAGCAGUCCUCCAGGACAAAACAGGAAGUAAACGUUGUCUCCAAUUACCAAACUAUCAUGGGACUAUAGAGCUCUGAAUCCACAAUAAGUAAAAUUCAGCAAAACUUGAUGCUGUCUCAGUCUUUUUUAAUGAGUUCAAAGUUUCAAACAUCUCAGGACUUCAAACUUCUCACACAUUUCAAGUGGUUUGACCCUCCCUGAUUAGGAUUUGGCAAGAGUCUUUUUGAGGAGCUGUCUGCACAGAGAAUUCAUCCUUAAAAUAUGUGUCAAGUAAGAUUUUCAGCUAUUUCAGUAACAAAGGAUUGCUGUACGGGCAUAAAGUCGUGAGAGCAGGGGCGUGUCCUGACUGUCUCGACUGGGGUGCCCCAACCACAGCUGUGACUCACGCAGGGGUGGCAUGAAGAUUGUGUGCAGAAUCAGGAAUCACAAUUAAAUACUCACUUAUAUCAUCUCAGCUAAUUUAAUUUAACUACUUACAUGUAAUAAUGGAGGUAUAAUUAGAUUAGAUACAACUUUAUUUAUCCUUUUCGAACUUCCCUCAAGAAAAAUAAAAAGUUAAGUGGUGCAGAAGUACAAUCCUGUGUAUGCACUGAAAAAGUUUCACAACAUUGUGAUAACAUAUCUAACUUCUCUGCUUCAUGUGGGGACUCAAGGAAAAAUAAAGGAUAAUAACAAACAAAAUAAAGAGAAAAUAUGCUUGAGAUGUAAACAAAGACAACAUGGGGGAUUCAGUUAUUAAUAAUAAUUUAUACAUAAACAUUAAAAUUGAACAUAAGCCAACCAGAACAGUCGUAGGCUGAAGCUUAAGUUUAUUCCGCCCACCUUUACAGGGAACAUAUGUAAUAUAAGAGCAAAAUAACAUAACAAUCCUUUAAUGUUCGUACAAAUGACAAGAAAACAAGCCAACAUGAGUGUGACUCCUGCAUUUAUACCUCAUCUUUACAUGGUUCUAUCAAAUUAUUUUUAAGCAUCCCUUAAAAAAAAAAAAGGCAAUUCAGGUUUUUUCAGUUCCUACACACUUUGUGUUUAUGUGAAAAGUCAUUUUUGCAUCUCAUUACAAUGCACGUGUGUGUGUGUGCGCGUGCGUGUGUGUCAGGCUGAGACCAGAGUGGAGGAAACAGCAGCGUCACCUGAUCCCUACAUGUUUUCAAUUAGCUCUGACCUGCGGAGGGUUGACAGGGAGCUUCACACAGUGAUUGACAUUGUGUUGUGACAAAGUGUGUAAAAAAACAAGAAACUUUGAUGAUACAGGGAGACAGAUCACUCCCUCUGCAGAUACACACACAGACGGACACGAUGAAUGAAUGAUGAUUCAGAGGGCACAAACUUUUACAAAAAUAAUGUGUAUACUAUGACGUUAUGAAGUCAAAUGUUAGUUUAAUCUGUUUCAUAAUUUUUUAUUUAUAUCAAUGGAUUCAUUAUUUGUUCUUGUUCAAUUGAAUUUCAGUUAAAUUUUAGUUUAUUAUUCCAAUUAUAACCUGAUUAAAGCUCCUAUGUAGAUUUUUUGUCAUUUUUGAAAUACUUUAAAUAUUAAAUAUUUUUAUGAGAUCUGAAAGUAAACAAAACCAACAGAGGUGAUAAUAACAAUUUGUAAUUUGUAAUUUUUAAUGCCUGAAAAUGAAGUGAGGGAGGUGGGCGUUCCGUACAAGUGAAUAAAAGCUAAUUAUACAGUAUGUUUAUUAAUUUAAUUAACCCUUUUAAAGUCUGAUUAAUGUAAAUAAAUACACUGUUAAUAUUUAUGAAAAUUAAAAAAAUAAAUAACAAAUUUCUGAUGAGAGUCUAUAAAUGAAUAAUGAAUGUGUUAAUUAUGCUUUUAUUGUUUAUUAGCAUCCUAUAAUGUCUUAUUAGUGGCUUAUUAGCUGUUAAUUCAUGCUAAUUACACAGAACUUAAUAUAAAGUGUUACUAAUAUUUGAUCUGAUGUUUUUGCUCCUAUUUCAGUCGAAUAAAGGCAUUAAAGGAUUGGCAAACUGUCAGUCUAGUUUUCAUGGUAUCUGGAAUUUUUGGAUUGGGGUUAAAAUUAUUACAAUAAAUUUUGGUGGAAAUACAAGAAACCUGAAAAAAUCUCUGUUAUAAUGGAAGCUACAUAAGUGUAACCCAGUGUAAUUCCUAGCAGCGUUAUAGUGAACUCGCUCCAUCCAAAAGGAAAAUCCGGCACUACCUGAGGCAUCUAACCAGCAGAUCCCGAAAUCUCUCUGUCACAUCCCAGAGAACAACAUGGUCUCUAUCAAAAGCCAGCCGCUUUGUGAAGCAUGACAAAAGUUCUGGACGGGUGGGAGGAGAGCGCUUCACAUCACACAAGCUGUCAGGGAAGUUCAAAGCGGGUUCAGAGAGGAGUCAGACUUCACCCUGACGUGAGCUGUUGGUGCAAACAGAUCCGAGACUCUACCUGACGUCUCAGACUUCUCCCUGUCUUCCCGAGUGGCAGGUCAGAUUGCUGGAAUCUCCCCUCUGAUGACAAGAUUUUUGUUUUUCUUUUGGCUGCCUUUCGACUUUUCAAUAAAAUGUAACAGGCCAGUGCUGAGGCAGCCGACUUUGGCAGCUCAGGGGGAUGUUUUUCCCUUUUUUUUUUUUUUUUCAGGAGAGACGAGAAUUGAAGCUCGCAGUGUGUGACAAAUAACCAAUAGUUACAGAAAAAUGUGACAUGGACUUUGAUGAAUCGGGUUGUGAUUCCCUGUUUCCUGUUCAUUUCAUUGCUUAUCCUUCAGUGAGAGUUUGUCAAAAAUGCUUCCAUCCUUAAAAUCUACUCCUGGCCUUGAGUAAAACACAUCCAAACUUCCAAACUAAAAAAAAAGCCAAAUUAUCACCUGACAAAUGCAGAGACAAGUCCCACUCAGGUGUGUUGAUGCUGCUGACAGCUUUCAUUUCAACACCCAUCUCCCCUAAGAAUCUCUGCAGGUUUUUUCCAACAAACUAAGUCUGAGUUAUGUGCAUGACAAACUUUUUCACAAAUGAUCCAUGUGAAGAGCGGGAGUGAGUGUGCAUUUAUGCUGCUUUCACAUUCUACUCCAUGGAUGAUGGAUGUGGGAUUAGGCAGUAUCAUGAAUCAUAUCAAUGUUUUCCCAGUCACUGUCGAGACAUGUGCGACUAAGCCCUGUUCCUGAAAGAUUCUCAUGAAAAGCAAAGGAUAAUGCUUCAGCUUCUUAUGGAUUAGCAUAGAAAAUGUAAAAACCUCAGCACAGAGAGCCUUAAAAAUAGGCAGAAUAUGAUAAGUACUGUACAACUGUCCAUUUUUUGAGUUGCCAUAUUUUAUACAAGUGCAUAGGAGGAUUGAUUUUGCUACUCUUACUUCUCUAUAUAUCACAAAUAUCGCAGCUCCAUCUCUUUAAAUCAGACCAACUCCCAUUCCAUUUCCAACCACAUGAGUGAAACACUUAUCAGCAUAUAGUCAGUUACAGUGGAGAGGACUAAUUUCCUUUAACAGGCAGAAACCUCGAGC